CCUACGGGUGGCAGCAGUGGGGAAUUUUGCGCAAUGCUCGUGAGAGUGACGCAGCGACGCCGCGUGAAUGACGAAGGCCUUCGGGUCGUAAAGUUCUUUUGACAGGGAAGAAAAUGCCUGUAAGUAACUGGGUAUGUAUUUACGGUACCUGUAUAAGUAGCCUCGGUCAACUCCGUGCCAGCAGCUGCGGUAAUACGGAGGGGGCGUGCGUUGAUCGGAGUGACUGGGCGUAAAGGGCACGUAGGCGGUGGUGUAAGUCAUUAGUCAAAGAGUAGAGCUCAACUUUAGUAAGGCUAGUGAUACUAGAAGACUAGAGUAUCAGAGAGGAAUGCAGAAUUCCUGGUGUAGCGGUGAAAUGCGUAGAUAUCAGGAGGAAUACCGUUAGCGAAGGCAGCAAUCUGGCUGGAAACUGACGCUGAGGUGCGAAAGCGUGGGUAGCAAACAGGAUUAGAUACCCCGGUAGUC
RNAcentral lists this ribosomal RNA (465 nucleotides) under uncultured bacterium. RNAcentral's name for it is "partial 16S ribosomal RNA". It matches the Rfam family "Bacterial small subunit ribosomal RNA", at positions 338 to 795 of the family's 1533-position model. The record is from RNAcentral.